This 24-nucleotide non-coding RNA is filed under the name Oryctolagus cuniculus (rabbit). Lineage: Eukaryota; Metazoa; Chordata; Mammalia; Lagomorpha; Leporidae. The record is from RNAcentral. RNAcentral also lists the same sequence under 2 other names.
GGGCUGGAGAGAUGGCUCAGCCGU